Non-coding RNA from Parelaphostrongylus tenuis, 71 nucleotides. The record is from the annotation of a GenBank genome assembly. NCBI's taxonomy places the organism in Eukaryota, Metazoa, Nematoda, Chromadorea, Rhabditida, Metastrongylidae.
GCCUCGGUGGUGUAGUGAUAGCACGCGUCCCCCAGAUGGUUGAAACGCGGGUUCGACUCCCGCUAAGGACG